GAGAAGUUCCUUCGGGGACGAGUAAAGUGGCGCACGGGUGAGUAACGCGUAAGUAAUCUACCUUGGCAUUUGGAAUAACUACGGGAAGCUGUAGCUAAUACCGGAUACGUUCUCCAUUCUACGGAAUGGAGAAGAAAGAUGACCUCUUCUUGAAAGUUAUCGUGCUAAGAGGAGCUUGCGUACCAUUAGCUAGUUGGUAGGGUAAUGGCCUACCAAGGCAACGAUGGUUAGCGGGUCUGAAAGGAUGAUCCGCCACACUGGAACUGGAACACGGACCAGACUCCUACGGGAGGCAGCAGUGAGGAAUAUUGCGCAAUGGGGGAAACCCUGACGCAGCGACGCCGCGUGGAUGAUGAAGGCCUUAGGGUCGUAAAAUCCUGUCAGGUGGGAAGAAAUGUAUGUAGGAAUAAUACCCUAUGUGCUUGACGGUACCACCAAAGGAAGCACCGGCUAACUCCGUGCCAGCAGCCGCGGUAAUACGGAGGGUGCAAACGUUGUUCGGAAUUACUGGGCGUAAAGCGCGCGUAGGCGGUUUGUUAAGUCAGAUGUGAAAGCCCAAGGCUCAACCUUGGACGUGCAUUUGAAACUGGCAGACUUGAGUACUGGAGGGGAUGGUGGAAUUCCCGGUGUAGAGGUGAAAUUCGUAGAUAUCGGGAGGAAUACCGGUGGCGAAGGCGACCAUCUGGCCAGAUACUGACGCUGAGGUGCGAAAGCAUGGGGAGCAAACAGGAUUAGAUACCCUGGUAGUCCAUGCCGUAAACGAUGUCAACUAGGUGUUGGGGCGGUUAAUCGUCUCAUUG
RNAcentral lists this ribosomal RNA (800 nucleotides) under uncultured bacterium. Its description in RNAcentral is "bacterial SSU rRNA". It matches the Rfam family "Bacterial small subunit ribosomal RNA", at positions 69 to 845 of the family's 1533-position model. The record is from RNAcentral.